CCUGCCAGUAGUCAUAUGCUUGUCUCAAAGAUUAAGCCAUGCAUGUCUAAGUUUAAGUACCUUAAACGCGAAACUGCAGAUGGCUCAUUAAAUCAGUCAUAGUUGGAGCAGCCUCAAGCCUUUAGGAUAACCGUGGUAAUUCUAGGGCUAAUACUUACAGUGCUUGCACUUGUUUUUGUGGGCCUUUCAUAUCAAUGCCACGCCGGCAUAAUUGAAUAACUGCAAACUCCGAUCGCAUAGCUUCACGCUGGCGACAAGCUGCUCAAAUGUCUGCCCUAUCAGCUUACGUUGGUAGCGUCUUGGGCUACCAUGGCUUUUACGGGUAACGGGGAACAAGGGUUCGGUUCCGGAGAGGGAGCCUGAGAGAUGGCUACCACUUCUAAGGAAGGCAGCAGGCGCGCAAAUUACCCAAUAGCAAUCCGCUGAGGUAGUGACAAGAAAUACCAAUAUGGGUCCCCGCAAGGGAUCUGUAAUUGGAAUGAAACCAAUUUAAAACUCUCAAUGAGUACCAAUUGGAGGACAAGUCUGGUGCCAGCACCCGCGGUAAUUCCAGCUCCAAUAGCGUAUAUUAAAGUUGUUGCAGUUAAAACGCUCGUAGUCGGACCAAGACCUCUACAUCGUUGGUCUACCGGAAGGUGUGUACUGACAUGUGGGGGUCCCUGCUCUGUUGAUCUUCCGGUCUUAACUGGCUGGUUGAAAGAUGGGGCCCAUUACCUUGAAUAAAUUAGAGUGUUUCAAGCAGGCUUUAUAGCCAGAAUAUAUUAGCAUGGGAUAACAGAAUAGGGCAUUUGCUUCUUUUGUUGGUAUGGGGGGUAUUUGCAAUGAUAAAUAGGGGCAAUCGGGGGCAUCCAUAUUUUAUUGUCAGAGGUGAAAUUCUUAGAUUGAUCAAAGAUGAACUACUGCGAAAGCACUUGCCUGGGAAGCUUCCAUUGAUCAAGAACGAAAGUUAGGGGAUCGAAGACGAUCAGAUACCGUCGUAGUCCUAACCGUAAAUUUUGUCGACCAGAAAUCGCGGGGUGUUACUUGGAUGACUUUCGCAGCAUCUUUCGGGAAACCAGAGUGUUUGGAUUCCGGGGGGAGUAUGGUCGCAAGGCUGAAACUUAAAGGAAUUGACGGAAGGGCACACCAGGAGUGGAGCCUGCGGCUU
Molecule: ribosomal RNA, 1147 nt
Filed under: uncultured soil eukaryote
Lineage: Eukaryota
Description: SSU rRNA
Rfam family: Eukaryotic small subunit ribosomal RNA
Source: RNAcentral